UGCUUAUUCAAUGAGCUUAAGCUGAUUACAUUUGCAAUUAAUACGUUCUUUCUAGGGGUACCACUUGGAGAUAGAACCAGGAGCCAAAUUUUGCUAUGAGAUGCUGCAACCCAGCUCCUCAGAGUUCUGCCCGGCCUUUGCUCACACAUCCAGCCUUCAUCAGCUGCAAGUCAGAGAAGUCACCUGAACAAGAAUUCAACCAAGAAGCACCUAACAAGGAGUCCAUGGAUGCUACAGACUUACCACUGAUUCCUUUUGUCAUUAAGCUAAGUGCUGUUGUCAGUGCAGGCUUUCCAGUGAGGGCACCACUUCUGCUGAAGGUGGUAGAGGCAUCUGCUCAGGGAGUUGGGUGCGAGGCAAGGCUGGCAUACCUUGCAUACUGUUGCAGCACACAGCCUCUUCUGCAAAAUCCUAAACCUUCCUAUUGCCAUACCCAGAGGACACUUGCUGGGUUGCCAGGAAAGGAGCUCUGCACAGGCUGAGAAAUUGUGGUGUUAUUCCAUUUGUGUUCAAGAACCAGCGGGGUCUGCAGCUGGCUUUCACGUCAAUCUGCUAAUGUCAGCAUCAGCAAGUUUCUGUUGGCUCGCUUCCUGCCACAGAAAGGGAUCCUGAAUACUCAGCAACCUCAGCAUCUUCAUCCUUCUGCAGCUGGUUACUGGAAUAGCUUAUGAGCUGUGUGAGGCAGGAGCUGCAUCUGAACUCCCAUAGAAGUUCAGUGCUCCGAGCUGGAAACACGCUCUAGAACAGAAGUUCUUCCAAAGAACCAGAUGGUGGAUGGAAGGCUUUACUUCUGUGCUCCUAAUGCUGCAGGCAUUGGGUUUCAUUUCUUCACUCCUAAAAUAAAUGGAUGGACUUUGAUAUUAAAAGCUCUAGAAUACAAACUUUUCCCCAUUUCCCUCUUCACUGACAGAGCUUGAAGUGUCUUCUCACUCAUGAGAAGAUGAUGCCACUGGGCACAGAUUCUCAUUGAAGUGUUAAUCUGCUGACUGUGACUCUGAGUGUGACUUCCCUGAGAUAUUAUUAACCAUCUCUAUGUCAUUUACCUGAUCCUUCCCAAAGCUCAUUGCGCAGCAUCUGACAUGUGUUGCAAUUCUGUGGUGAAAGCUGUUAUUACCAAAAUCACAUUCAUCUUUUAGAAUAUAUGUUUCGAAUCAUGAUUAGAAUAAAGAGGUGUCUUAUAAAUAUUUUUUGUGUGCAUAAUCCUACAUUAGGUGAUAAUCUGAAAUAUUGCAGGUCACAUGUCACUUUUUUUCCUAUUUUCUAAAGUUACCUUGGUCAAGAAGAGUCUGUAAAGAGCCUAAACUCUCUGGAGAUUUUAAUAUGUAUAAAACCCACAGAUAUUCAUGUUGUUUUACACUGGUGUAUUUGUAUUGAUACGUUUGCCUUAUCUAUUCUUUGAGCUAGACUCAAGCACAUGUUGCUUCAAAUAGAAACUUAUAACUUCGACUUGUUCUAUCAUCUUGGAUUAACUUUCCUGAUGUUCUCAGGGUGCAGGUCUGCAUCAUUCUUAACCCUCUUGUGAAGCACAGAAUACCAGCAUCUCCAAAUGUCUUCAAAAGGUACUGAGCCAGUGAUAAAUGUUUACAUCACAGUUUCUAAACUACCUCAGUUUCUCUCAAUUGCUCCAUCUCCAAAAUUCAUCACCUGGAAAAAGUGCCAUGGGGAUGAUGUAGAGGGAAAAUUUAACUUCACUUCUCUUGAAGGCCCAGCUCACAUAGUGGUAGCAGUCUUAAAUUAGUCACUGCACAGCAGCAUGUGGCAGUGGCUUUAAACAGUGACGAGAAACACUUGCAACACUUUGCAUAUGACAUUCUGCAUGCUUUCUGUCUACCUCAAUGGCCAUUGGAAUUAUGAUAGCUGAGGAGCAGUAUAUAUCAGUAGUGUUAUGAAAGCUUUGGUAUACCUUAAUGCCUUCAUCUUACUUGCAUGUGAAAAUGAUUUACUAGCAC
Long non-coding RNA from Meleagris gallopavo (turkey), 1949 nucleotides. Lineage: Eukaryota; Metazoa; Chordata; Aves; Galliformes; Phasianidae. The record is from Ensembl.